Homo sapiens (human) is the source of this 1234-nucleotide long non-coding RNA. RefSeq lists it as uncharacterized. Lineage: Eukaryota; Metazoa; Chordata; Mammalia; Primates; Hominidae. The record is from RefSeq and is a predicted model, not a curated record. The transcript has 2 exons.
AGUGCGGCAGCGGCUGUCGGCCAGCCGGAGUUGGCGCCGCGGCCUGCCCGGCGCAGCCGCUGUCCACCUGCCAGCGGGGGAGGGGCGCGGCCGGCGCGCGGGUCAGAGGUCGCCCGGCCGCCGCCGGCGUCAUUCAUAAGGCCUGGCGCUGGGCGGCCGAGGCCAGGCCUGCUUGGGGGCCAGGCCGCGGGGCCUCCUGGGUUUUCCCAGCCGCACUCAGGAGGAUGCCGGGCCCGGCGCAAGGGGUGGCUGGGAAGGGGCGCUCAGUGUCCACCCCUUUGCUGGGCCCUAGCCCUGGGCUCCUGCCAGUAGUAAGAGCUGGCACCCACUUAACGCUCCUUCGCACCACACUCCCAUCGCGUAGGUGCUACCAUCAUCACUCCCAUUGCACAGAUGAGGAAUCUGGGGUACAGCCAGGCAGAUUCCCUGCUCCUGUUCCCCGUCUGUAUUUCCUGUCUGGGCAAUGCGAAGGGAACCUGCCCCUUCCUUCAGGAUCCUCUUUCAGUACACACUUAGCAGAGGACAGUCGGGGUUUCCCAACUGCGACACUACUGACGGUGAGGCUGGAUCAUUUUCUGCUGGGGGGUGUCUUGUGCACCACUGGGUGUUGAGCAACAUCCCCCGCCUCUACCCACUGGAUGCCAGUAGCCCCUCCUCUAUCUUCCUGCUGGCUGUGGCAACCGCUGUCUCCUGACAUUGGUGAAUGUGCUCUUGCGGGGCCGAACUGCUCCUGAUUGAGAAGCACUUAAGAGAGGGUCAGGGGAGGGGAGAAGCCAGGUCACCCCGACUCGGAAGGGCUAGCUGGGCUUAACUACAAGCCGAUCUGCUGCUUCGACUUGAAUAGCCUCCACCUUCUCCAGCUGCUGUCUGCCCCCAUGUUCCCAGAUCAACCACAGUUCCAGGGAGGGAGAGUCAGAGCCUUUCUGUGAACUAUGGGGAAAUGGCUGACCACUCCGCCUCUGGAUGGAUAGAUACAUGGACAGCUGGUUUAAGUUUUGACAAAGAAAAACCCCUCCUGGAACCUCAGUCUGGAAUACAACUGUAGAACCAAUUAAGACUGGAGUAGGAAGCUGGAAAGAAGACGUGGGACAGCCAACCCACUGGACAGGGCAAGAGGCCACUUCUGGGGGAGAGUGGACAAAGUUGCUUCAGUCCACCAGAGACAAAAGCACAAACAAUCAUUCUAAAUGAAGUGCUUUUAAUUUUCAGACCAAACAUUUUUAAUAUAAAAACA